Molecule: ribosomal RNA, 412 nt
Filed under: Ptychophallus sp. LMT-2014
Lineage: Eukaryota; Metazoa; Arthropoda; Malacostraca; Decapoda; Pseudothelphusidae
Description: partial 16S large subunit ribosomal RNA
Rfam family: Bacterial large subunit ribosomal RNA
Source: RNAcentral
UUAAAUUUAAUGGCCGCGGUAUUAAUGACCGUGCAAAGGUAGCAUAAUCAUUAGUCUUUUAAUUGAAGGCUCGUAUGAAUGGCUGGACAAAAGGAAAACUGUCUUCUUUAAUAAAGAUUGAAUUUAACUUUUAAGUGAAAAGGCUUAAAUACACCAAAGGGACGAUAAGACCCUAUAAAACAUUGGGUUGGGGCAACAAGAGUAAAAUUGAUAACUGCUUAAUGUUUAUAUACAAAUAUGUUUGGCAUGAUCCUUAUUUUAAAGAUUUAAAGACUAAGUUACUUUAGGGAUAACAGCGUUAUUUUUUUUGAGAGUUCAUAUCGAAAAAAAAGUUUGCGACCUCGAUGUUGAAUUAAAAUUUCUAUGUGGUGCAGUUGUUACAUAAGAGGGUCUGUUCGACCUUUAAUUUUUU